RNAcentral lists this ribosomal RNA (253 nucleotides) under uncultured bacterium. RNAcentral's name for it is "partial 16S ribosomal RNA". It matches the Rfam family "Bacterial small subunit ribosomal RNA", at positions 524 to 776 of the family's 1533-position model. The record is from RNAcentral.
GACGUAGGAGGCGAGCGUUGUCCGGAAUUAUUGGGCGUAAAGAGCUCGUAGGCGGUUUGUUGCGUCGGCUGUGAAAACCUGAGGCUCAACCUCAGGCCUGCAGUCGAUACGAGCAGACUAGAGUGUUGCAGGGGAGACUGGAAUUCCUGGUGUAGCGGUGAAAUGCGCAGAUAUCAGGAGGAACACCGAUGGCGAAGGCAGUUCUCUGGGCCGUAACUGACGCUGAGGAGCGAAAGCGUGGGGAGCGAACAGG